Molecule: non-coding RNA, 73 nt
Filed under: Ruminococcus sp.
Lineage: Bacteria; Bacillati; Bacillota; Clostridia; Eubacteriales; Oscillospiraceae
Source: RNAcentral
AGCCGAAACGGUGGGUUUAAACGCCCACUGUCUGCCGGGAUUGGUCGCCCGGUACUGAUGAUGGCAGACCGUG